RNAcentral lists this ribosomal RNA (403 nucleotides) under bacterium. RNAcentral's name for it is "partial 16S ribosomal RNA". It matches the Rfam family "Bacterial small subunit ribosomal RNA", at positions 355 to 776 of the family's 1533-position model. The record is from RNAcentral.
UGGGGAAUAUUGCACAAUGGGGGAAACCCUGAUGCAGCGACGCCGCGUGAACGAAGAAGGUAUUCGUAUCGUAAAGUUCUUUCCUAUGGGAAGAUAAUGACAGUACCAUAGAAUAAAGCUCCGGCUAAAUACGUGCCAGCAGCCGCGGUAAUACGUAUGGAGCGAGCGUUGUCCGGAAUUAUUGGGCGUAAAGGGUACGCAGGCGGUUUAAUAAGUCGAAUGUUAAAGAUCUGGGCUCAACCCCGCAAAGCAUUGGAAACUGAUAAACUUGAGUAGUGGAGAGGAAAGUGGAAUUCCUAGUGUAGUGGUGAAAUACGUAGAUAUUAGGAAGAAUACCAGUCGCGAAGGCGACUUUCUGGACACAAACUGAAGCUGAGGUACGAAAGGGUGGGGAGCAAACAGG